GGCCCGGGGCGGGGCGGAAGGCGGGACCGGAGGUGGAGCAAGGGGCGUGGGGCAAGGCCGUCCCCCGCGUGGGCCCCCUUGGCUCCGCGCGCCCCUCUGGGUUGGGCCUGGGGCUGCCCCUAUGGGUCUGGCCCACGCCCUAGGAUGGUGGCGGAGGGCCGCCGGGGAGGGCGACGGCGAGUGCGGAAGGGUCCGUGAGUAUCCCCCGGUGCCGGUGUGGGCAAGCGUCCCCACCGAGGGAGAAUCGGGGCGGCCGGCUGGCCAGUCGGGUUGUGUCCCCUUCCUAAGGAGACGUGGGGACGGCGACCAGAAGGCGGAGGAGGCGCCUCCUUCUAGCUUCAGACGCGGAGGCGAGCGCCGUCACCUCCCGACCCGGUGGAGCGCGUGGACGGUGAGUGCUGAGAUGUCAGGGCGGGACGGGGAGAAAGCCUCCAGGCGACGACACUUCUGUGUGUGUGUGUGUGUGUGUAUACACAGUCACAAGUCUACAAACACAGGAUGCAACACACAUAAAGUACAAAGUUCAAGAUAAACAGUAAAGGGAAAAACAAGUCUUACGUCCCUCCCUCCCCCUCCGGCCCCAGGAGAGGAAGACAUAUUCAAGCCUGCAGGCAUUUCUGGAGAAUUCCUCUAGUUCCGGCAGGUCUCCCCUACUGCCUUGCAGGUAUUAGAAAGCGCCUGCCUUCUGCUAAAAGGGUCCUCAGGCUUCCCUGUAAACCCAGUUAGGGCACGUCAUUCCUUCUCAGCCACACUUGGGUCCUGCUGCUCCAAACCACGGCGCACCCGUGCCUCCGUGGACUUUCCGUGGCCACCUGUUCCCUGUGGGUGAGGGUAGUCAGGGAGGGGAAUUAGCUCCAGUCUGGGCAGGUAGUCUUUCGGUUUGGGGUGUUCCUCCUUCUCCAGGAGGAGCCCUUCUCUCUCCCUGUGUUGCCCUCCUCAGCCAUAUACUCUUGUUCUUGGAUUCACUUUCCUGUUUUGGUGAAGCUGAAAAGAGGUGUCUGGGAGAUCAUUUUUUUUAAAGAUACUGCAAAGCUGAAAAUGUCUUCAUUUUGCCCUCAUACUUGAUUUGUAGUUUGGCUGGACAUAGAAUUCUAGGUCAGAAUCCUCUUCCUUCAAACUCUGAAGGCAUUGCUCCCUUUCUCCUCCCUCCUAGGAGUGUUGUGAAGAAAUCCACAGCCAUUCUAAUUUCUAAUCCUUUACAAGCAGUGGGGACAUUUUCCUCCCUGGAAGUUUUUAAGAUCGUCUCCUGAAGUUUCACAACGUGGUGCUUCCAUGUGCCUCGAUUGUUACUUACUGUGUUGGGCACUCAAAGGGCCCUCAGUCUAGAAACUCCUGUCCUUCAAUCCUGGUAGUUAGACAUUAGCAGCAAGAAGGUGACAGUGGCGAGAAAGACAAGCAGAAGCAAUCGAGUCACACCCAACCAUCUGGAGACCCUCCCUGACAUUAGCAGCAAGAAGGUGACAGUGGUGAGAAAGACCAGAAGGAGCAAUCAAGUCACACCCAACCAUCUGGGGACUCUCCCCUGACCCCACCCAGAACAGUUGAAACUAUGGUCAUAUGGUGGGCAGCUUAUCCUGUUAAAGAGGGGCACAGUAACACAAGGGAACUUCCCUGGGCUGCGCAUGCCCAGACCAGACAGGUGUAUAACCUAUAGUAAACCCAAACUCAUUAUACCAUCAUUAUAAUAAAAUCUAUGUAUGGUUUUGCCCCCCGCCCCCGUGGGCAUUUCUUAGCGAUUGAAGGAUGAGAGCCUGCGCAGCAGUAAACUUGUUACAUAGCUCGGGACUGUCGAUCAAAUAAUGAUCCCCUGUCACUCGCCCCCGCCUCCCUGCAAAAUGCUCCUUAAAAGCACCCUUAAGCCUGUAUGGGAAUGCUGCUUUCAAUUCACAGAAACAGCCCACUCUCUCUCUGAGAGUGUACCUUUGCUUUGAUAAACUUUGCUUUGGUCUUGCUUCACUUCGCUGAAACAGCCCGCUCUCAGAAACAGCCCGCUUUCUCUCUCUCUCUCUCUCUCCCUCUCUGAGAGUGUACCUAUGCUUAAAUAAACUCUGCUUUAUGCUUAAGCUUAAAGCUGUAGUUUGCUAGUCUUUGCUUACUAUCGCGGAACCAAGAUUGCUGGUCCGUUGACCAGCAAUUGCUUCCGUUGACCUCCUCGGUUGGAGCUAUUUUGUUAUAACGCACGUCAACCCAGUGACACUCUGUGUGAUUUCUUCCAUUGAGGCUUUCGUUUCUGCUGUCAUAGUGUUCAUUUCCAGGAGCCCUUUCUUCUGUACAAAUGUUUCUUUUUAGAAAGGGGAGGGUCUCUUCUUGCCUCAUCUUCCAGGGGGAUCGUCCUCGCUGGUCUGCAGACGCGAAGUGCUAUGCUCCUGCUCGGUCGCUGUGCUCUGGGUUCUUCCUGUUUCUUUUGGCUCUGUCUUCCAGGAAGAAGCUCUCUAAGAGACUGCAGGCUGACCGGCUCCUGAUCCUGAGCAGUUUCGGUGGCUGGUCUUGCCACCAAGCAGGAGAGGCACGAAGCCCGGCAGGGAGCCCGAGAGUCGCGCCUUCGGCGAUGGCGGUGACCACUGGACCCAGAGGCGGCGCGGGGUCAGCAGCGCCAACUCCUGGCUAAAACGCUGGGCCUGGGACCAGCCAUAACGCUGAGCCAGACACUGGCCUUGUCGCUCAGCCUGACAUCCCGCGACUGAUGAGGAAACGCCAGGCGACCUGGAAAGUGACGGCCCCAGCUGCCAGGCCAACGAGAACCUGUCAUCACCCUGAACUCUCAUUUUCCUCCAAUUGACUUUUCUUCAAAACAACCCCUCCCAACUUCCUCCCUUUUCUCUAUAGAGAAAAAUGGUAAAAUAACUGGCUGUUUUAUUUUUUAGGUUAGCAAGUUGAAAGUAUUCUUUAUAUAUUCUAGACACAAGACCCUUAUCAGAUCUAUGAUUUGCGAGAUUUUUUCUCUCAUUCUGUGGGGUGGCUUUUCACUUUCUUCAAUGUAUCCUCUGAAACAUAAAAGUUUUUAAUUUUGGUGAAGUCCAAUUUAUAUAUUUUUUUCUUUUGUCACGUGUGCUUUCGUCCCUAAAUUACUUCAUGAAGGAUAGCAGCCACCUGACCU
This is an RNA transcript of Balaenoptera acutorostrata (minke whale), 3097 nucleotides long. RefSeq lists it as uncharacterized. NCBI's taxonomy places the organism in Eukaryota, Metazoa, Chordata, Mammalia, Artiodactyla, Balaenopteridae. The record is from RefSeq and is a predicted model, not a curated record. The transcript has 5 exons.